This 705-nucleotide long non-coding RNA is filed under the name Cricetulus griseus (Chinese hamster). RNAcentral describes it as "lncRNA (ENSCGRG00015000305.2)". Lineage: Eukaryota; Metazoa; Chordata; Mammalia; Rodentia; Cricetidae. The record is from RNAcentral.
CUGUAGCUCAGACUAGUCUCCAACUUAGUAGGCAGCUGAAGGUGGCCUUGUACUCUUCUACAGAUACCUGGCUCUGGCACAGGCUGAGAGGCUCAUCAUGGCUCCUGCAGCAAUCCCACCAUCGAAGAGGGCACCGGACCUCGUGACAGAUGGUUAUGAGCCACCAUGUGGUUGCUGGGAAUUGAACUCAGGACCUCUGGAAGAACAGUCGGUGCUCUUAACCGCUGAGCCAUCAUCUCUCCAACCCAUUCCCUGGACAUUUUAACAAACACGUGCAUUUACACAUAGGAACACUCACAUAAAACUCCCUUGCUCAUUCAUAGACAAGACCGAGUGCCCCCAUGCCUCUUGGAUUCAGUGUCACCAAGGAAAUUGCUGAUCUGCCAAAGAACUCUCCGGCGUUUUGUCUAUCUGUAUACCAUGUGCAUGCCUGUUGCCUGCAGAGCUCACCGGGGACAUUUCAGAACCAAAAAGUAACACCAAGGCCUGCCAACAGUCGCCAGAACUAGGAGAGAACCUUGGGACACUAUACUACUCCUACACAUGAUUGUGGACUUACAGUCUCAAGAAACGUGAAGAGCAAAGCUGUGAAGUGGAGAAAGGGUAACAAAAGGCCGUGGAGAAGGACACUGAAAGGUCAUCCAGAAGACCUGGAUCCCGAAAUGCAAACAUCGGCGGUCUCCUUAAAUCCACGCAUCCAGGAAG